CCCCUUCGGGGGUGUAUAAAGUGGCGAACGGCUGAGUAACACGUGGGCAACCUGCCUCUUGCUCUGGGAUAGCCACGGGAAACCGUGGGUAAUACCGGAUACUCCGUAACCAUCGCAUGGUGGAUACGGGAAAGCGCAUACGGNAAGAGAUGGGCCCGCGGCCUGUUAGCUUGUUGGUGGGGUAACGGCCUACCAAGGCAAUUAUGGGUAGCUGGGUUGAGAGACCGACCAGCCAGAUUGGGACUGAGACACGGCCCAGACUCCUACGGGAGGCAGCAGUGGGGAAUCUUGCACAAUGGGCGAAAGCCUGAUGCGGCGACGCCGCGUGCGGGAUGAAGGCCCUAUGGGUUGUAAACCGCUUUCAGCAGGGAAGAGGCCGCAAGGUGACGGUACCUGCAGAAGAAGCCCCGGCUAACUACGUGCCAGCAGCCGCGGUAAUACGUAGGGGGCAAGCGUUAUCCGGAUUCAUUGGGCGUAAAGCGCUCGUAGGCGGCUUGUUAGGUCGGGAGUCAAAUCCCGGGGCUCAACCCCGGCACGCUUCCGAUACCGGCAGGCUUGAGUUUGGUAGGGGAAAGUGGAAUUCCAAGUGUAGCGGUGGAAUGCGCAGAUAUUUGGAAGAACACCAGUGGCGAAGGCGGCUUUCUGGGCCAUAACUGACGCUGAGGAGCGAAAGCUAGGGGAGCAAACAGGAUUAGAUACCCUGGUAGUCCUAGCCGUAAACGAU
RNAcentral lists this ribosomal RNA (724 nucleotides) under uncultured bacterium. RNAcentral's name for it is "bacterial SSU rRNA". It matches the Rfam family "Bacterial small subunit ribosomal RNA", at positions 75 to 810 of the family's 1533-position model. The record is from RNAcentral.